This 312-nucleotide unclassified non-coding RNA is filed under the name uncultured fungus. Its description in RNAcentral is "partial contains small subunit ribosomal RNA, internal transcribed spacer 1, and 5.8S ribosomal RNA". The stretch from base 1 to 73 matches the Rfam family "Eukaryotic small subunit ribosomal RNA", at positions 1759 to 1831 of the family's 1831-position model. The record is from RNAcentral. Lineage: Eukaryota; Fungi.
UCAAACUUGGUCAUUUAGAGGAAGUAAAAGUCGUAACAAGGUUUCCGUAGGUGAACCUGCGGAAGGAUCAUUACCGAGAGCGGGUCCCCCACGUGGGGGCCCAACCUCCCACCCGUGUCUACCACGCCCCGUUGCUUCGGCGGGCCUGCCCGCUGUGGCGGCCGGGGGGGGCCUCCUGCCCCCCGGGCCCGCGCCCGCCGGAGACACGCCGCAUGAACCCUGUUUGAACGUGGCCGUCUGAGUGGAUUUUGGGCAAUCGUCAAAACUUUCAACAACGGAUCUCUUGGUUCCGGCAUCGAUGAAGAACGCAGC